UCCGGUGGUGAUGGAGGUAGGGAAACACCCGUUCCCAUUUCGAACACGAAGGUUAAGCCUACCUACGCCGAUGGUACUAGGCUGGAGACGGCCUGGGAGAGUAGGUGACUGCCGGGU
Ribosomal RNA from Caloramator australicus RC3, 117 nucleotides. NCBI's taxonomy places the organism in Bacteria, Bacillati, Bacillota, Clostridia, Eubacteriales, Clostridiaceae. The record is from Rfam.